GGGGAUGAUCGGUUUCGACGACGAUUGUCGAUUGAAGGGAAGCGGGUCGAGGAUGCACAGUCACCUCGUUAACGAUCUGUGUAAACCAAUAGGUGCCGAACACAAUCGCACCGACUUCGCUCUGGCCGCCUGAGCCAUCGAGCGUUAAAAAGUCCGUCACCCCGGAAGUGCUUUCGGUCCGGGUGCUGGCGUCGUUUAGAGAGCCACUGGACUGCCGUAGGGUUGUGAUGCGGUAGUCGAGAUUUUUGCAACUGAGCCUGUCCAGUAAAGUCGUUUGAGCGUAGACUGGGGGCUGAGAAACUCCGUUAGUCAAACUGCACCCGGAGAAGACUUCAGGGCCAAUCGCCGGACCGGGGUUCGAUUCCCCGCAUCUCCACUU
This 379-nucleotide transfer-messenger RNA is filed under the name Boudabousia marimammalium. RNAcentral's name for it is "Standard tmRNA". It matches the Rfam family "transfer-messenger RNA". Rfam says of the family: Bacterial tmRNA, also known as 10Sa RNA or SsrA, is named for its dual tRNA and mRNA-like properties. Its role is to liberate the mRNA from a stalled ribosome. Lineage: Bacteria; Bacillati; Actinomycetota; Actinomycetes; Actinomycetales; Actinomycetaceae. The record is from Rfam by way of RNAcentral.